UACGGAGGAUCCAAGCGUUAUCCGGAAUCAUUGGGUUUAAAGGGUCCGUAGGCGGCCUUAUAAGUCAGCGGUGAAAGUUUUCAGCUUAACUGAAAAAUUGCCAUUGAUACUGUAGGGCUUGAAUUUUUGUGAAGUAACUAGAAUAUGUAGUGUAGCGGUGAAAUGCUUAGAUAUUACAUGGAAUACCAAUUGCGAAGGCAGGUUACUAACAAACGAUUGACGCUGAUGGACGAAAGCGUGGGGUAGCGAACAGG
RNAcentral lists this ribosomal RNA (254 nucleotides) under uncultured Flavobacterium sp. Its description in RNAcentral is "partial 16S ribosomal RNA". It matches the Rfam family "Bacterial small subunit ribosomal RNA", at positions 524 to 776 of the family's 1533-position model. Lineage: Bacteria; Pseudomonadati; Bacteroidota; Flavobacteriia; Flavobacteriales; Flavobacteriaceae. The record is from RNAcentral.